CUGAUGAUUAACCCAGGGCUGCAUUAUGGAGAAAAUCUGUCAAAAUGCAACUACAUUACAUGGCGCUUUACAGGCAUCAUUUCUGCCUCACAUCAGUCCCUGCACCAGCAGAGCUUACAAUCUAAGGUUCCUACAACAUUUAUAUACACUAGUGCCACAUUUUAUUAGGAGUCAGCUAAGCUGCCUGUAUGUGUUGGAGAGACCAUUCCAGCCAAUGGUUAAUCCUAAAUAGACAGCAAUGCACUGGCCAAACCCUGUGUUACACCCCAUUAAAUAUAUACAUCUAACAGUAUAGCUUUAAUCAGAGAACCUUUAGUAGAUCAUAUUACUGACUAUAUUCCCCACAGCACAAGCUCAAGUCAGCAAAGUGGUUUAUUUGUGCAUUAUGGAGGGAUUGUACCCCCCUGGGAGGCAUCAGAAUGAACUACUACAAUGAAUAAAACGUGUGCCAUGAACUAAGUUUACGCUUAAAAAGCUGAUUUAUUAUAUACACACACACACACACACAUAUAUAUGACAUGGCCGAUACAUAAGAGAUAGUUUCAAGCAAUGGCGUGUUUCUAUACAACUCCACAAAGACAGCAGAGAAACUACUACAGCAUGCCGGCUCUCAGCUGUCAAUCAGCUCCCAACGUACACAAACAAUCCCACAAGGUGAGCAACUCCUGAUCGCCAGCUCCCCCCAGCGACCGCACUUGGAGCUGCAACCCCGCUCAACAACCAGGCCCAACCCCAAAAGACAGGGAGAGAAACACACACAACAAAAUGGCGGACCGCGGCCCCAUCACGUGACCCCUUUGUGCCUUCCCGGCCGCUAAAUUCUUCCCAGGUAUCACCGGCGGACACACCGGGGACAUAUAUCCCCACAGGGAGAUCCGCUUUAGCCUCACGAGCCACCCCCGAGGAUGGAAUGACAGGGGGAGAGGGCUGCCUGUACUCAGGCUCCAGUUAUUCCCCAGAGACUACAUCAUAUUAGCAGGCCUCAAGCUGUUUACAGACUUAAGGUAGGAGAUCCGAAUUACGGAAAGACCCAUACCUGUACUGUAUAAGUCGCCGGAAGAAAUUGCUUGUGGUUGCUGUUGCCUGAAAUAAUCACUGUUAAUAUGCCCUUAUCCGCUGAGUCAACUAUCCCUAUAAUGUUGUACCUAGCUUCUGUUACUUAGGAUAGUUUUAAUAAAACUUGAAACAAUUAA
Xenopus tropicalis (tropical clawed frog) is the source of this 1193-nucleotide long non-coding RNA. RefSeq lists it as uncharacterized. The transcript has 3 exons. The record is from RefSeq and is a predicted model, not a curated record. Lineage: Eukaryota; Metazoa; Chordata; Amphibia; Anura; Pipidae.